RNAcentral lists this small nuclear RNA (297 nucleotides) under Notamacropus eugenii (tammar wallaby). RNAcentral describes it as "7SK RNA (ENSMEUG00000018170.1)". It matches the Rfam family "7SK RNA". From Rfam's summary of the family: 7SK was discovered as an abundant small nuclear RNA in the mid-70s but a possible function has only recently been suggested. Two independent studies have found that 7SK RNA binds the CDK9/cyclin T complex (known as elongation factor P-TEFb). Lineage: Eukaryota; Metazoa; Chordata; Mammalia; Diprotodontia; Macropodidae. The record is from RNAcentral.
AGAGGUAAGAGGAAUCUGGCUAUAUAAAUCAUCCAAUUGAUAAUCAGGGUUGAUUUGGCUGAUCUAGCUAACUAGAUCAGUGUCCUGUUACUGUAACGGUCUGAACCCUAUUUGAUGUAAAAGGAGGCCCAUGUAAAAAUACAGCUUUCCGGAAAGACUGUCCUUCAGUCAAGGGUAUGUAAAUAGCUGUGCCCUCCUGCCAAACCCAGCUCCAAGGUCCAAGAGGGAGAUGGUACCAAUAUCUCUAUUUUACAAACAAGGAACUUGUGGCUCAGAGAUAUUUAGCUGUUUAUCUAU